RNAcentral lists this small RNA (358 nucleotides) under Histoplasma ohiense. Its description in RNAcentral is "hypothetical lncRNA". Lineage: Eukaryota; Fungi; Ascomycota; Eurotiomycetes; Onygenales; Ajellomycetaceae. The record is from RNAcentral.
GGCAGGUAGGAAGUGAUGAUGGCGGCUCUAGCAAUAAAUCGCAUCUCCGACACUGCAAGUCCAGCGGCCACAAGUCUCAAGGGGAUGAUCUACUAGCCGUAAUCUUAUAUUACGAGAGGAGAGAAAAUGCAUUUGGGUGAAUCUCGAUCGGAGCUACCUAGCUGGCCAUGUUCAAGUGAAAAGGACUUGGCUGAGAGGAAGUCAUCAGGAGUCCAAAAAUCUUCUGUGGAAGAAAUGUUGUGAGGACUUCUGAUAAAUGAAAAAAGAAGAAAGUAGGAGCUGAGUGAGGUAAUGACUGAUACAUCAUGUCCUCGAGUCGAACUGUGUAGCAAUUAUUACCACGGCAAUAGUAUAGGCC